Molecule: long non-coding RNA, 459 nt
Filed under: Cricetulus griseus (Chinese hamster)
Lineage: Eukaryota; Metazoa; Chordata; Mammalia; Rodentia; Cricetidae
Description: lncRNA (ENSCGRG00015039203.1)
Source: RNAcentral
AGAAACUCUGGAUGCAAUCCAAGGCAAGGACCAGCCCUGAGAAGCUUUAGCUGGGGAUACAGAGGUAGCUCGUUGCAGAGGGACCCCACAGGAUUGGAAAUUGUGGCACCAGAAGAUUUGAGUGAGACUCUCAAUGCAGAGACAUUCCCAAAAUGUUGGUUCAAGUUAGUGUGGAGAAAGAGUCAAGUGAUGCUGUGAAAUUUUUCUUCAGCCAUGGAAAUCUAAGUCAGUCGUCUAAGGGAAACAGCGUCAUGGAUAAUUCUUCCUCUUCCGGUGUGUGGACUGCGGCCCUCAGCUACCCUGUCUCCAGCCAGCCUGAUGUUCAUUCGACACUCCAGAUAUCUCACUGCUCCUUGUAGUUUCAUCUCUUUUCUUUGUCCAUUACAAUGUUCACCAUGAGUGGGUUUUUUAAGGUUGGAUUCUGCUUAGACUUCUUUUUGAGGCCAGAGACUUCAUGAG